Molecule: ribosomal RNA, 400 nt
Filed under: Nasidius sp. RCP-2009
Lineage: Eukaryota; Metazoa; Arthropoda; Insecta; Orthoptera; Anostostomatidae
Description: partial 12S ribosomal RNA
Rfam family: Microsporidia small subunit ribosomal RNA
Source: RNAcentral
UUCUUGAAACUCAAAGAAUUUGGCGGUGUUUUAGUCUAUUCAGAGGAAUCUGUCCCGUAAUCGAUAAUUCACGAAUUAUUAUACUUAAUUUUGUAAGAUCAACUUGUAUACCGCCGUCAUCAGAUUAUUUUUUUAGAAUUAAAAUUUUCUAAAUAUUUGAUUGAAUUAAAUGUCAGGUCAAGGUGCAGUUUAUAAUUAAGAGGAGAUGGAUUACAAUAAAAUAAUAUUUAUACGGAUUUUAUUAAUGAAAAAUUAAUUGAAGGUGGAUUUGAUAGUAAAUUUGUUUUAGCAGGUUGAUUAUAGCUCUAGAACAUGUACACAUCGCCCGUCGCUCUCGUUAUUAAGGCGAGAUAAGUCGUAACAUAGUAGAUGUACUGGAAAGUGUAUCUAGAAAGUAAUA